This 253-nucleotide ribosomal RNA is filed under the name uncultured bacterium. RNAcentral describes it as "partial 16S ribosomal RNA". It matches the Rfam family "Bacterial small subunit ribosomal RNA", at positions 524 to 776 of the family's 1533-position model. The record is from RNAcentral.
UACGGAGGAUGCAGGCGUUAUCCGGAUUUAUUAGGUUUAAAGGGUGCGUAGACGGGUUUGUAAGUCAGUGGUGAAAUCCUACGGCUUAACUGUAGAACAGCCAUUGAUACUACAGACCUUGAAUGCAGUUGAGGUAGGCGGAAUGUGUCGUGUAGCGGUGAAAUGCUUAGAUAUGACACAGAACACCGAUUGCGAAGGCAGCUUGCUAAACUGUGAUUGACGUUGAGGCACGAAAGCGUGGGGAUCAAACAGG